Molecule: ribosomal RNA, 278 nt
Filed under: uncultured soil bacterium
Lineage: Bacteria
Description: partial 16S ribosomal RNA
Rfam family: Bacterial small subunit ribosomal RNA
Source: RNAcentral
AGAAUCAACGCUGGCGGCGUGCCUCAGACAUGCAAGUCGAACGCGAAAGUCCCCUUCGGGGGACAAGUAGAGUGGCGCACGGGUGAGUAACACGUAGGUAAUCUACCUUCGGAUGGGGAAUAACAACCGGAAACGGUUGCUAAUACCGCAUAAUGCAGCGGCACCUAAUGGUGACAGUUGUUAAAGCGGGGGAUCGAAAGACCUCGCGUCUGAAGAGGAGCCUGCGGCGGAUUAGCUAGUUGGUAGGUAACGGCCUACCAAGGCGACGAUCCGUAGCC